UAUGUGAGCAAAUACCUCAUCAGGUGUCAC
This 30-nucleotide non-coding RNA is filed under the name Mus musculus (house mouse). The record is from RNAcentral. Lineage: Eukaryota; Metazoa; Chordata; Mammalia; Rodentia; Muridae.